UACGUAGGGUGCGAGCGUUAAUCGGAAUUACUGGGCGUAAAGCGUGCGCAGGCGGUUCGUUAAGUCAGAUGUGAAAGCCCCGGGCUCAACCUGGGAACUGCAUUUGAAACUGGCGGGCUUGAGUAUGGCAGAGGGGGGUGGAAUUCCGCGUGUAGCAGUGAAACGCGUAGAGAUGCGGAGGAACACCGAUGGCGAAGGCAGCCCCCUGGGCCAAUACUGACGCUCAGGCACGAAAGCGUGGGGAGCAAACAGG
Molecule: ribosomal RNA, 253 nt
Filed under: uncultured bacterium
Lineage: Bacteria
Description: partial 16S ribosomal RNA
Rfam family: Bacterial small subunit ribosomal RNA
Source: RNAcentral